CUUCCAGCUUUUGAUUAAGGUCAUAAUGACAAAGUGUUAAAAUAACACCAGCCUUAUCGUCUUCAUUAUUAUUAUCUUUUAAUUAAGGUCAUAAUGACAAAAAACAAAUCCUGUGUCAAAUAAGCUGGCAUUUUGUGUUGAUUAAAAAUAGCUUGAGUGUUCACACCUAAAAAAAAUCUUCACAGAUCCAAAUGAACAAAAGUCCACCUGAGCUAAAUUAACACAGUUCUGUUUUGUCUUGUCAGGGGCAGUGUUCGUUUUCCCCCCUGAGGCAUCACUUCCUGAGAGGCCUUGCAGCGAGGGUGUGACAUAUGUGAAUAUUCCUGUCAGUCCCACAUCCAAGAAGCAGCUCAACUACAUGGAACUCGAGCUGCAGGAGCCAGGUACCAGCACCCGAGGGACUCAGAGGAAGAGUUCCACCAAAUACGCGCAAAUUGACAUCACUGCCACAGAGACAGCCCACAAAGUUGGCACGCAGCAUGCCCUGGGACGGCAGGAGGGCCUGCACACUCUGGAGCUGAGAAGAAAGGGGACGCCACAUUGACUUCUUCAUCACUGAACUGUUGAUCUCAGGAGGAUGUUUCUGCAUAAGACCGGCCCACCACAUCAAACUGUAAAGAAAUAUAGCUUGGAGGGGUUUAUUUAAGUUCUGACUGUUCCAAAAAGAUCCUCUGAGAUUCGCUGUAGGUUUCCUUCUCUGUUCUGUUCCAUCUUUUGAAUGCAGAUUUGUUUUUCUGGAGGUUGCUUCAGCCAGUCAGCAUAUACCCAAAUCCCAGCAAAUGUCAUCUGAGCAGUGUUCAUUUUCUUAGAUUCAGACUUGUUUCUGUAUUCACAAAGCUGUAAGCUGAAAGAUGGAGCCUCCUUGGAACAGCCUGGCACAGAAUCAGGAGCAACAUUUCAAUCUUGGUCUCCUUUGUGGACUCAGGCAUCUCAUUAAAUAGCAUUAUGUCAGCGCCGGAGCCUCAGGCAAACUUGGAGGAAGAUGUGCCAGUCUUGAGUUGAGUCACCGGUCCUGAUAAACCCCCAGAGCAGAGGCAUUUCACAGCUCCCUCGGGCCAUCCCUAAUAACAUUCAGUAUGCUGUUUUUGUCCUUGUUUGGGAGAACAGAGGAAGGGUGGCGGCAAAGGAAUCAGAGAUGCUGUUUAUUCUGACAAGGAGUUCAAACUUAUUUAUUCCUCAGUGAUCAGUAAUUCCACAUAUAGCUGCACAAAACUCUUUUCAGUAUAUUCUGAUGUAGUAAAACCUUUUUAUUCAGUCUUACUCAGAAUGCUGCACAUUUCAGGCUAGUUCACUGUUAAAAGAUCAAUGUUUAUAUAGGUUAGGGCAGGCUAAAUAAUGGCUCUGCAUAAUACUUCCAUAUUGCGCAUGGCGACUUUUGUUUGCCUGGGUGUAACUAACGAAUUUGUGUUUAUCAUAUGAACAGAAUCUCAAUGCUGUGUUUUGUUCUGCUUCACAGUUCAUUUAGACUGGGAUUUACUGUGGAAAAAGUCUUCAUAAAUAAUGCAAUACAGAGAGAAAAUCCCAUAAACAACAGAUGUCUCCCAAACCGACUUUCAUUUCAUUUCAAAAUUAAGUAUUUGAAAAGUUUGUUUUUUUUAUGAACUCACUUAAGUGGUUAAAAUCUCAUCCUUUUUAUUAGUAUUCCUUAUUGUGUGAGUGCACCUAGACAUUUUUACUGAAGCUGCAAUUAUAAAAACAUAAUUUGGUUUGUGUUGUGUAGAGCUGCUCAUCUUAGCCAAUAUAUUGUUUUUGUCUCGUACUCUUCAUUUUAUUUUGAUAUCUGUAAAUAGAUUUUCUUUCUAUUUAGGUCACGUGGAUUGUAUAUUGUAAAAUAUACAUGUGAAGACAUAAUGUAUGUACAGUAAAGAUGUAAGGCGCUAUUUUUUCUUGUAAACUAUUUUUCUUGUGAAUUAUUUAUAACAUUAACUACUGCUGUGUGUUCAGGUUUUCUAGAGUCGGAUCCCCCCAUGUACAGUUGUAAACCGGUUUAGUACCAUAAUAUAAUAUAUAAAGUAGCCUUAUAAAUUAUCAUGUUUUCAUUCAACACUGUGGUCGAACAUUUUUUAAUGUAGACUGAUGCACAAUAUGAAGGCAGUUAACACUAAUCACAACAAAAAUAUGUGACAUUUAGUGACUUAUGACUAGUGUGACUUUUAUUAUUUUUAAAUAUCAUCAAAUUAUCUUAAAAAGCUAUUAGAAAUUAAUUAAACAUGCAUUUAACACACUAUAACGCUCAAAGUAAAAAACUGUAAUAAAAAGGUUAUUAUAUUCACCAGUUAAUAACUAUUUCUUAUUUUGCCUUUAAAUUAUGAAUCAAUUGUUAUUCCAUUAAGUGGCUGUCUGAUGUUAGACGCCCUCUGGUGGCUGUAUUAAACAUCUGCAUGUGUUGACUAAAUAUUUAGAAGAAAACAAACGCACAACAACAAUAAAUGUACUUGGUUAUUUU
Long non-coding RNA from Lates calcarifer (barramundi perch), 2446 nucleotides. RefSeq lists it as uncharacterized. The record is from RefSeq and is a predicted model, not a curated record. Lineage: Eukaryota; Metazoa; Chordata; Actinopteri; Centropomidae. The transcript has 2 exons.